AUUGAACGCUGGCGGCAGGCCUAACACAUGCAAGUCGAGCGGAUGAAGGGAGCUUGCUCCUGGAUUCAGCGGCGGACGGGUGAGUAAUGCCUAGGAAUCUGCCUGGUAGUGGGGGAUAACGUCCGGAAACGGGCGCUAAUACCGCAUACGUCCUGAGGGAGAAAGUGGGGGAUCUUCGGACCUCACGCUAUCAGAUGAGCCUAGGUCGGAUUAGCUAGUUGGUGGGGUAAAGGCCUACCAAGGCGACGAUCCGUAACUGGUCUGAGAGGAUGAUCCGUCACACUUGAACUGAGACACGGUUCAGACUCCUACGGGAAGCAGCAGUGGGGAAUAUUGGACAAAGGGGGAAAGCCUGAUCCAGCCAUGCCGCGUGUGUGAAGAAGGUCUUCGGAUUGUAAAGCACUUUAAGUUGGGAGGAAGGGCAGUAAGUUAAUACCUUGCUGUUUUGACGUUACCAACAGAAUAAGCACCGGCUAACUUCGUG
This 484-nucleotide ribosomal RNA is filed under the name uncultured bacterium. RNAcentral describes it as "partial 16S ribosomal RNA". It matches the Rfam family "Bacterial small subunit ribosomal RNA", at positions 30 to 507 of the family's 1533-position model. The record is from RNAcentral.